This 447-nucleotide ribosomal RNA is filed under the name uncultured bacterium. RNAcentral's name for it is "bacterial SSU rRNA". It matches the Rfam family "Bacterial small subunit ribosomal RNA", at positions 330 to 794 of the family's 1533-position model. The record is from RNAcentral.
UCCAGACUCCUACGGGAGGCAGCAGUGGGGGAUAUUGCACAAUGGGGGGAACCCUGAUGCAGCGACGCCGCGUGGGUGAAGAAGCGCCUCGGCGCGUAAAGCCCUGUCAGCAGGGAAGAAAAUGACGGUACCUGAAGAAGAAGCCCCGGCUAACUACGUGCCAGCAGCCGCGGUAAUACGUAGGGGGCAAGCGUUAUCCGGAUUUACUGGGUGUAAAGGGAGCGUAGACGGCGUCGCAAGUCUGAAGUGAAAGCCCGUGGCUCAACCGCGGAACCGCUUUGGAAACUGCGAGGCUGGAGUGCUGGAGAGGUAAGCGGAAUUCCUGGUGUAGCGGUGAAAUGCGUAGAUAUCAGGAGGAGCACCGGUGGCGAAGGCGGCUUACUGGACUGUAACUGACGUUGAGGCUCGAAAGCGUGGGGAGCAAACAGGAUUAGAUACCCUCGUAGG